RNAcentral lists this ribosomal RNA (549 nucleotides) under uncultured Glomus. RNAcentral describes it as "SSU rRNA". It matches the Rfam family "Eukaryotic small subunit ribosomal RNA", at positions 548 to 1098 of the family's 1831-position model. Lineage: Eukaryota; Fungi; Glomeromycota; Glomeromycetes; Glomerales; Glomeraceae. The record is from RNAcentral.
UUGGAGGGCAAGUCUGGUGCCAGCAGCCGCGGUAAUUCCAGCUCCAAUAGCGUAUAUUAAAGUUGUUGCAGUUAAAAAGCUCGUAGUUGAAUUUCGGGAUCAGCAGGUUGGUCGUGCCACCGGUAUGCACUGGCCUUGCUGGUUCCUCCUUCUUGAAGAACCGUGAUGCCAUUAAUUUGGUGUUGCGGGGAAACAGGACUGUUACUUUGAAAAAAUUAGAGUGUUUAAAGCAGGCUAACGCUUGAAUACAUUAGCAUGGAAUAAUGAAAUAGGACGUUCGAUCCUAUUUUGUUGGUUUCUAGGAUUGACGUAAUGAUUAAUAGGGAUAGUUGGGGGCAUUAGUAUUCAAUUGUCAGAGGUGAAAUUCUUGGAUUUAUUGAAGACUAACUACUGCGAAAGCAUUUGCCAAGGAUGUUUUCAUUAAUCAAGAACGAAAGUUAGGGGAUCGAAGACGAUCAGAUACCGUCGUAGUCUUAACCAUAAACUAUGCCGACUAGGGAUCGGACGAUGUUAAUUUUUUAAUGACUCGUUCGGCGCCUUACGGGAAAC